This is a long non-coding RNA of Callorhinus ursinus (northern fur seal), 409 nucleotides long. RefSeq lists it as uncharacterized. The record is from RefSeq and is a predicted model, not a curated record. Lineage: Eukaryota; Metazoa; Chordata; Mammalia; Carnivora; Otariidae.
UCUGAGAGAGACCAAGACACAUUAGGCCCAGCUCACCCCGGGAAGUCUCUAAGUACAGGAAAUUCUAAAAUCACCUUCAUUUAUAUUGGUUUAUCUUUUUGAGACACUUAGUUACUCCUGAGUGGCCUUGCUAUGAAGAUUCAUUACCUUUUCUUAGCUCUUCUUAUCUUUGGCCUGUUACCUGCCUCAGGAACUGAAGAUGAUUAUGUGGUCACUAGCUUCCUGGACUGUAAAAAUCAAACAUCGUGUAGUUCUCCAAGUGAAAAUGGAAGCUGUUCUCAUGUUAACAAGGAGGUUGGAGUAUGUGUCUUGCGUUUUAGAAAAAGUGCCCAGCAACCAACUAUAAAGAAAUAGAAAAUUAGGAAGACGGAACAAUCAACACCCUCGUCUUAUUAAAAAAUAAAUUCUA